AAUGAACGCUGGCGGCGCGCCUAAUACAUGCAAGUCGAGCGAGAAGACGUAGCAAUACGUUUGUAAAGCGGCGAACGGGUGAGGAAUACAUGGGUAACCUACCCUCGAGUGGGGAAUAACUAGCCGAAAGGUUAGCUAAUACCGCGUACGCUUCUUGGACUUCGGUUCAGGGAGGAAAGCGAUGCCGAGGGUAUCGCGCUCUUGGAUGGGCUCAUGUCCUAUCAGCUUGUUGGGAGGUAACGGCUCACCAAGGCUUCGACGGGUAGCUGGUCUGAGAGGACGAUCAGCCACACUGGCACUGCGACACGGGCCAGACCCCUACGGGAGGCAGCAGUAAGGAAUAUUGCGCAAUGGGCGAAAGCCUGACGCAGCGACGCCGCGUGGGGGAGUGAAGGUCUUCGGAUU
Molecule: ribosomal RNA, 405 nt
Filed under: uncultured bacterium
Lineage: Bacteria
Description: bacterial SSU rRNA
Rfam family: Bacterial small subunit ribosomal RNA
Source: RNAcentral